AUACGGAGGAUGCGAGCGUUAUCCGGAUUUAUUGGGUUUAAAGGGAGCGUAGGUGGGAUAUUAAGUCAGCUGUGAAAGUUUGGGGCUCAACCUUAAAAUUGCAGUUGAUACUGGUUUCCUUGAGUACGGUAUAGGUGGGCGGAAUUCGUGGUGUAGCGGUGAAAUGCUUAGAUAUCACGAAGAACUCCGAUCGCGAAGGCAGCUCACCGGGCCGGAACUGACACUGAUGCUCGAAAGUGCGGGUAUCAAACAGGAUUAGAUACCCUGGUAGUCCGCACAGUAAACGAUGAAUACUCGCUGUUUGCGAUACACUGUAAGCGGCCAAGCGAAAGCGUUAAGUAUUCUACCUGGGGAGUACGCCGGCAACGGUGAAACUCAAAGGAAUUGACGGGG
RNAcentral lists this ribosomal RNA (393 nucleotides) under uncultured bacterium. RNAcentral describes it as "partial 16S ribosomal RNA". It matches the Rfam family "Bacterial small subunit ribosomal RNA", at positions 523 to 918 of the family's 1533-position model. The record is from RNAcentral.